GGAUGUGUGCCCGAGACUUAGGGGUUACUUUGAUAGAGUAAACCACAGGGACUUACCAAACCCUCACCUCCU
Molecule: transfer RNA, 72 nt
Filed under: Podarcis bocagei
Lineage: Eukaryota; Metazoa; Chordata; Lepidosauria; Squamata; Lacertidae
Description: tRNA-Ile
Source: RNAcentral